AAUGCCGGCAUUUCAUGUUUCCAUCAACCGAGUCGUCACUUUUAGUUCAUGCGCCAUGUAAUUCAUCUGCAUGAAAUUGUCGGAUGGGAAACGUGGUUAGUGACCACCAAACAAACAAAUAUUUUCGUGGGCGGAGAAAAACCUCUCGCUUCGCCUCUUUCGUCUCUUCCUCUCUGACUACACUGAGUAGAAAGUUUGGUAGCGUAGUGACAGACGCUGUGGUCAGUCUAAAGACAUGCAAGUACUGACAGGGUUUCUUGCCAGUUUUACGUUUUAAAAUGAUGUCAACAGCAAUCGCAACCUCCAACAAGUCGUUUAAAUACUUUACCAUAAGAACUUCAGAGUAAAGACGGCAAUGGAAAGGUGGAAUAGUCACGUGCGCGCUAGACUGUUCCAGAGAGAUUUUACACAAAAGGACCCAUUCAGUGGUGUCUUCAACACCUUGUCCAAAUUAGCGGAGCGGCUUGACCUAAGGGAGACAUUUUGGGAUGAGUUACAGAGACCCAGUUCUGAAGGAUAUGGUGGAAUGACAGCUGACCACAGAGAAUUACACCUCAACCUCAGAGGAGUGAACAUAUAACAGAAAAGCUCCCUCGGACAGUUUCUGACCUGACCACCGUCAUGUACCUGAAAGACGCAGAGCUUCAAUACUGCCACUCACAAGUCUCUCGCUAUCGGAAGGAAGCUGUCACUCAAGCCAGGGGGGCCAACAUUCUGCAGGCCAGCCUAUCAGAGCGUGAGUUUGAAUUGGAGAGCCAAUCAAAGGAGUUGGCAGCCCUGUGGUUGGAGCAGCGGGAGUUGAGGGAGGGGCUAGCAGCGGCCUGGAGAGAGAAAGAGGGGCUUCUGGAGAGAUGGAUGGAUGGAUGAGGAGGAGGAGGUGGCGGCAGAGAGAGUGCACAGGAAAGAUGGCGUCGUUUCACCCGUUGACUCAACAAGCAUCUCCGUAGAGCGAUGCUGCGACCAGGUGAGCAGACCAACUCCUGGAUGACUGGAGACACACAAACAACAGACACAGAACACACAGCAGUGGCAGGCACUCGCUUGCGUCCCAACUAAUAUCAAGGUCUGCUUUGGCCAGAGGAGGAUGGUGCACAAUGCCCAGGGUGGACCUUGACACAUUUUCCCAAAAGCUUCCUGUACUAAAACACACCUUGAAUGUGGCUCAAAUGUUUAUUUUUUAUUUUUUUACAUUUUAUCUAUUGAAAGAUAUUGAUUUUAAUCAAUGUAGGUAUGGGUAAAGCUAAUUAUAAACCAAACUGUAAUACUGUUGUAAAUUUUAGAUACUGUAUGUGCAGGCUUAUUUAAGUGAGUACCUAAGACCUAACUCAAUGUUUUAAUAUUAACUGUUUUAAAAUACUAUGAGCAAUAAAGUAACAAACUUCUCA
This is a long non-coding RNA of Salmo salar (Atlantic salmon), 1385 nucleotides long. RefSeq lists it as uncharacterized. Lineage: Eukaryota; Metazoa; Chordata; Actinopteri; Salmoniformes; Salmonidae. The record is from RefSeq and is a predicted model, not a curated record.